AGACAAGGGCCUGUUUGAACCUUCAACGUGCGUGGGUCAAAUGAUUGUUUAGGAAGUCUGUAUGAUGACGAAAAAACUGCAGGUGACUAGAAGCUGCCGAUGAGCUGCCAGUCCGGAUGGCAGCUAUCAACACGGCAAGGGCCUGCAGGCGCAUCAGCCCUCCCCCCGUUCCUCUACUGCCAUUGGAGACAGGAUGCUUUGUAAAAGAUUGUUUCUUUUCUUCAGUGGGAGCUCAUGAAGGUGGCACUGUGCACAGAGGGACAGAGUGGCUGACAGUGAGCUGCCCAAGACAACCUACUGGCUCUCGUGACCAUCUCCGAAAGCCUUUGGAUGGGCUAAUUGACAGGCAUGCCUGGACAUUUAUAAACGGUAAACACAAUCUAGACUACCUUUGAAUUACGCCUUGGUCUAACUGCUGUUGCCAGGAUACCAUGU
Molecule: long non-coding RNA, 435 nt
Organism: Ixodes scapularis (black-legged tick)
Lineage: Eukaryota; Metazoa; Arthropoda; Arachnida; Ixodida; Ixodidae
Exons: 3
Source: RefSeq, a predicted model, not a curated record